CAGCAAGUUAACUAGAACAGGGGUCCCCAACCCCCGGCCCUUGGACCGGUACUGGUCCCUAGCCUGUAAGGAACAAGGACGCACAGCGUGAGGGAAUUGAACAGCUUGGACUUGGAGACAGUGAGUUAAAACAGAAAUAAGAAGGCGGCAGAAAAAGACUACCAGAUUGAAAUGUGUUGGAUAUUCAUAUCCACCCAGCACCUCAGAAUGUGGCCAUGGAGGAUGGAGACAGAGAUUGGAGUGAUGCAUCUUCAAGCCUAGGAACACUAAGGAUUGCUGGUAAUCACCAGAAGCUGGAAGAGGCAAGAAAGUGUCCUUUCCUAGAGCCUUCAGAGAGAGCGCAGCCCUGCCAACACCUUGAUUAUAUGCUUCAAGCUUCUAGAAUUGUGAGAGAAUAAAUUUCUGUUGUUAUAA
Molecule: long non-coding RNA, 414 nt
Filed under: Homo sapiens (human)
Lineage: Eukaryota; Metazoa; Chordata; Mammalia; Primates; Hominidae
Description: non-protein coding TNKS2-AS1:5
Source: RNAcentral